AGCGUGCGCAAUCCGACUUCCGCCUACACAUCGUGUUGUGAUCAGCAUAAUGAAUUUUCACACAAGAUUAUGUUCUUUGUGUUUCAAAGAAGCUUUCAUUUUAUAGAAGGGUCUGACGAGAGAUAUUGUAACCUGUAAAUAAUCGACAUGCCACAGAAACCAACUGAACUGUCAUCCAAUACAAAAAGCUGAUGUAGCCAGGAGAUAUACAACUUAGUUUUGAUCUGACAAAGAACCAAUGUCUGUACAGGUAAAGAUUGAGCUUGGCCACAGGGCCUCAGUACGCCAAAACCAGACCGAAAAUGGUUUCACCCAUGACUGGACUGUAUUUGUAAGGGGACCUGAUGGCUGUGAUAUUGCUCACUUCAUAGAGAGAGUGGUAUUCAAUCUUCACCCGAGCUUCACAAACUCCAAACGAAUGAAGACAUCUCCUCCAUACUUUGUAUCAGAGUCAGGAUAUGCUGGGUUUAACUUGCCAAUAGACAUUUACUUUAAAAACAAAGAAGAACCCCGCAAAAUCCGCUACCAGUAUGAUUUGUUUCUGAGAAUGGCCGAUAAUCCUCCUGUGAACCAUACGCGAUGUGAGAAACUCACUUUUCAGAAUCCUACAGAGGAAUUUAAGAAAAAGCUGCUGGAAGCUGGAGGGAUUGUUGUGAACCCUAAUGGGGAGAAGGAAACUGGGCAGUUCACAGACUUGUUUGGUCCACCUAUCCAGACUGAUACCGUGAAGAAAUCUAAGCACUCCAAGUCCAAAGGAAGUUCCACUAUUUCUGGUAAGUCGAUACCUGGGUCUGGUUCUAAGGACUCAAGCUCAUCUUCGUCAUCAUCGUCAGGUUCCUCAGGCCAAUUAGUCACUUCUAACACUACUUCUAGUACUACGACAACUAGCUCAAGUGAGAGCUCUAAAUCUCAUAAAAGUUCCUCUAAGGACAAACAUUCCUCAUCUUCACAGAAAAGGCCUCAUGACACAUCUCAUGAUGAAGGGGGCAAGAAGAUUAAGAAAAGUUCAUCCUCCUCACCAUCAGAUGUCAAGGUCAAGGACAAACAUGGGGAAAAGUCUGUGGAAAAAAGUAAACAUUCAAAGGAGAAAGAUUCUUCGUCAAAGCGUAAGGAAUCAUCUUCAAAGGACAAGGAAUCCUCUUCAAAGGAUAAAGACUCAUCUUCCAAGGACAAAGAUUCUUCUUCAAAAGAAUCUAAGGAGAAAAAUACUUCAUCCAAAGAUAGUUCAUCAUCAUCCAAGCAUAAAAAUAAAUCAUCGUCUUCUAAAUCACACAAAUCCGAUAAAGAUAAAAGUAAAUCCUCGAAAAGUAGUAGACACGAGAGUAAGCGAGAGAAGGAGGAUACAAAAUCUAAAGUGAAAAGUGAAACAGUUUCUUCUAGUGGAAAAAUGAAAACAGAAAUGGAUGUGAAAUCUGAAAUCAAAAGUGAAUCUGCCAUUAAAGUUAAGACAGAGGUUCCAGAGGAGAAAGUUAAAACUGAGCCUUUGGUAACUGAAAAAAAAUCUCCUAGCAGCAAAAAUACUUUUUCAAAAGAAGCUUUUGCUAAGGAGAAGGUAUCAUCUCAUGAUAAAAAGAAAAAGGAAAAACCUCAAAGGUCAAGUUCAGGGUCAUCACAACCACCAAUCAAACGAAAGAGGAUUAUUUCUGAUGAUAGUAGUUGUGAAGACAGCAGUAAUGACAGCUCAUCUUCAUCAGAUGAAAGUAUUGAACAGGAUGCGGAGGAGCCAGAACUUCGUGACUUACAACACUCGAGGCUUAAUGUGACUCAAAAUAGUGAUAGUGAAGAUAGCCUAAAUGAUGACAAUGAUGAGGAUGAGGAAAGUACAACAAGACCAAGCUCUGUGGCGUCAAAUACAUCCAUGGCAUCCACUAACCCAUCUCCACAACCCACAAUCCAACAGCAAACAAAACGUGCGCUUCAUAGACUUAUGCAAGAUUUGAGUGACCAAGAUGAUGACGACGAUGAUGAUGAUGACGAUGAUGAUUUGAUUCCUCAAGCUUUUCGCUCCCCUAUUAAAACAUUUUCACCUUCCUCUGUGAAGAGUUCUAGAGCUUCACCAGGAUCUGUUCAAAGUGCAAAAAGUUCAUCAUCUCCAGCAGUGAAGUCUUUGAGAAUGGAUUCUCCUUCAUCUCAGAAAAUUGCAAAAGAAAGUUCACCCUCACAUUCAAAAAGUAUUUCGUCUCCUCAUUCCCAAAAGAGUUCCAAAUCUAGUCAUCAUUCCACCAUUGAAUCAAAAGACCAUUCCUCUACAUCAACACCUUCAACUCAAUCAUCUCAAAGGAAAUCAUCUAAAUCAUCAUCAUCUUCAUCAUCUACCAAAAACAAAAGUGACAGUAAAUCUGACAGCAACAAAAAGGAAAAGGGCAAUUCUAGUUCUUCUGUAAAAGACAGUUCCAAGUGUGACACGAAUAUAAAAACUGAGAGUACAAAUAAGGAGAAAAAAUCUAAAGAUAAGGAGCGAAAGUCAAAUAAAGAGUCUGCUAAGCAGAGAAAAGCAUGCAAAGAAAAUAUUGCUGAAAAUCAAGGGAACUCGUACAGGGAAGAAAGAUCUACCACAAAUAACAGUUAUACUUCAGAAACACAUGAGUCGGAGCGAGACAUGAAUGGAAAUGGCCAUAUCAAUUUUGGAGAUAUCCUGGAGCAGCAUAAUCUUGGAAAUGCUCCAAAUGGACAAGAUCUUGUCUCCUUGUUGGAUCUCCAUAAAAAACUAGAAACAAUGAAAGACCGUGGAGUUCUUCAACAGAUUGUGACUGUAAUAUUGGAGACUGGGAAAUAUGAAAUCGGAGAAGCUUCAUUUGAUUUUGAUCUUUGUGCUUUGGAUGGCAAAACUGUUGAGAGACUCCGAAAUUUCAUUGGAGGUUCAGCAUCCUAGUUGGUAGGAAUAAUGUUAAAGGGAUACUGGGAGUUAAAUCAAAACUGAUAGGAAUAACAGAUGUUUCAUUUCACCUCCUUAUACGGUGAUAGAAGUGAACAGCCUGGUUGCCAUGGAUUUAACAUUCAAAUUUGAAGGAUGAGAGAUAAUCGAAACCUGAUAUGUUAGAAGCAUCAUUAAUUUAUAUUGUUUUGAAUCCUUUUUGUCAACAUAUAUAUAAUGUAUUAUAGACUGAUGACACAUGAUUUAGUGUUUACUUGAGUCUUCAAAUGAAAGGAGAUAUAUUUAUGAACCAAGAUGUAGUAUAUCAUCGAAUAAUUCUUAAGAUCCUGUGUACAAUGGAACCCUGAAAAGUACUUGUUUUAUAAACAAGAUUAGGGCAUUUAGUUGACCCGUGACAUUUAGCUAUUUCAGAAGUCAAAUAUUUUUUUCUCAGAAAUCUGAAGGGUCAAACAUAGUCUAAUAGACAUGUCCUUUCAAACCCAAGAUGGGGAGUCAAAACUAUACUCUCAAGGGUCUACUGGAUGCCUUGAAGAUGCUACUAUUUAUGAAAACGAAAAAACUACCCUUGUCACUUCCUCCUGUUGAUAUUUGAGUGCUGUUGCUGAUCUUGUAAAAGGGAUUGUUACUUUGUCAUAAAAUAUGCAUAUGUGUUGAUGUAUGAUAUCAUGAUCAGUUUUUGAAAGAAAACAUCAAGGUUGUGACAAGGUUUGACUGUACUGUAACGAGGUUAAAAUUGUGUCCUAUUUAAAUAGGGCAUAAUUUCAAACAUUUUUGAUCAAAAUCACCAAAAUUAUGGCUAAAAUGGAAAAACUUCCUUCUGUAUACACUGUACAGUGCUGUAUAAUAUAUGCUCAUUUUUGGCCUGGUAUGAAAUAUGAAUCAAUGACAGAAAGACAUCCUCUAGUAUAUAUAAUAGAUGUUACAUAACAGCAAUGAAUGCUCUUAUUUUUUUGACACUCAAGUACUGGUUGUAAGAUUUGUGGCUGAAGUGAUAUAUACAGAAAUUUACAAUUUCAUUUUCAUGAAUGACUUAAACCAUUUUAAGUGCUAUCUUUAGUGGAAAAGAUGCAACACUACGCUGAAAGUAAAGAGCUAUGAUUUUUUUCACUUUGAUAUUUAUACAGAUAAAUAUAUUUGAACCUACAAAUCCAAGCAUAACUUCAAUGAUGCAUCAUCUUCAGGAGUUAAAGUCAUCUUUACCUUUCAAUUAUAGUAUGAAUUAUCUUUUUUAAAAAUCUUAUAUACAAUGUAUAAAGAAUCUGAUUAACAUUACAUCAAACAAAAUGAAACCGUUGAAGAAGUGAUCUGGUGAAUAUUGUGGUGUAAAUGUAUAUAUAUGUAUAUUUAUUUGAGAUUUCAUUGGUGAAAUGUUAACAAAUUACAUCCAUAUUUAUUAUUCAGCAUUUUGACCUGUACAUGUGUAUGAUGUAUUUUAAGCCAAUCAUUUGGUGAUUGUGAGCUGUUUAAAUUGCCAUUCAUCCAUUGUCUGUCAUAUCGGCUGUCCACUCUGUAAACAAUCCUUGAAGUAUCUGAGAGAUCUUUCUCAAAUUCAUAUGUAGGUUCCCCUUGGUCUGUUGUGGUGCGUGUUUAAUUUUGAGACUUUUCUGAUUACAAAUGAGAAUCUUGAAUUUUGGAAAUUGAAGUUGGUUACGUUUUUUUUCCAUGGAUAUUUAAAAUAAAUUUUGAUGUUCAUUUUGGAAACCGAUCAGAAAAAAAUAGUAGUGAUAUUUUGUGAUUAGUACUAUUAUUAAAAGGAAAGGGAGAAAAAAAAAUACAGAAAAUUUUGUUUACAUACAACCAAUAAAAUACACUGAAGUAGUUGCCAAGAUCCUCUGGGAUAUCCUUCAAACACUGUUUUCUCCUGUUUUAUACUUAAUCUUGUCUGGUUAUAGUGAUAUCUGAUUAUGUGCUUAUGUUUGUUCUGGCAUUCUAUGUAUUAUGUACAGCCUAGGUCUAGAUCUGUACAUAUGACGGUCAAUUUAUGUAUGACCUUAUGAAAUUAGGUAAAGUUGGAGCAGAUUGACUUGUUCCAUUGACCUUAUUAUUAUGAAUGACUUCAGGUAAAGUUCACACAGAAUGACUUGUCAGAUUGUGACCUUAUGUAUGACCUUAGGUUAAGUUGGAGCAGAAUGACUUGUCACAUUGAACUUAUGUAUGACCUUAGGUAAAGUUCACACAGAACGACUUGUCACAUUGACCUUAUGUAUGACCUUGGGUAAAGUUCACACAGAAUGACUUGUCACAUUGACCUUAUGUAUGACCUUAGGUUAAGUUGGAGCAGAAUGACUUGUCACAUUGACCUUAUGUAUGACCUUGGGUAAAGUUCACACAGAAUGACUUGUCACAUUGAUCGUAUGUAUGACCUAAGGUAAAGUUCACACAGAAUGACUUGUCACAUUGACCUUAUGUAUGACCUUAGGUAAAGUUCACACAGAAUGACUUGUCACAUUGACCUUAUGUAUGACCUUGGGUAAAGUUCACACAGAAUGACUUGUCACAUUGACCUUAUGUAUGACCUUAGGUAAAGUUCACACAGAAUGACUUGUCACAUUGACCUUAUGUAUGACCUUAGGUAAAGUUCACAAAGAAUGACUUGUCACAUUGACCUUAUGUGUGACCUUAGGUAAAGUUCACCAAGAAUGACUUGUCACAUUGACCUUAUGUAUGACCUUAGGUUAAGUUGGAGCAGAAUGACUUGUCACAUUGACCUUAUGUAUGACCUUAGGUUAAGUUGGAGCAGAAUGACUUGUCACAUUGACCUUAUAUAUGUAUGACCUUAGGUAAAAAUCACACAGAAUGACUUGUCACAUUGACCUUAUGUAUGACCUUGGGUAAAGUUCACACAGAAUGACUUGUCACAUUGACCUUAUGUAUGACCUUAGGUUAAGUUGGAGCAGAAUGACUUGUCACAUUGACCUUAUGUGUGACCUUAGGUAAAGUUGGAGCAGAAUGACUUGUCACAUUGAACUUAUGUAUGACCUUAUAGGUUAAGUUGGAGCAGAAUGACUUGUCACAUUGACCUUAUGUAUGACCUUAGGUAAAGUUCACACAGAAUGACUUGUCACAUUGACCUUAUGUAUGACCUUAGGUUAAGUUGGAGCAGAAUGACUUGUCACAUUGACCUUAUGUAUGACCCUAGGUUAAGUUGGAGCAGAAUGACUUGUCACAUUGACCUUAUGUAUGACCUUAGGUAAAGUUCACACAGAAUGACUUGUCACAUUGACCUUAUGUAUGACCUUAGGUAAAGUUCACACAGAAUGACUUGUCACAUCGACCUUAUGUAUGACCUUAGGUUAAGUUGGAGCAGAAUGACUUGUCACAUUGACCUUAUAUAUGUAUGACCUUAGGUAAAGUUCACACAGAAUGACUUGUCACAUUGACCUUAUGUAUGACCUUGGGUAAAGUUCACACAGAAUGACUUGUCACAUUGACCUUAUGUAUGACCUUAGGUUAAGUUGGAGCAGAAUGACUUGUCACAUUGACCUUAUGUAUGACCUUAGGUUAAGUUGGAGCAGAAUGACUUGUCACAUUGACCUUAUGUAUGACCUUGGGUAAAGUUCACACAGAAUGACUUGUCACAUUGACCUGAUGUAUGACCUUGGGUAAAGUUCACAAAGAAUGACUUGUCACAUUGACAUUAUGUGUGACCUUAGGUUAAGUUAGAGUAGAAUGACUUGUCACAAUGACCUGAUGUAUGACCUUUGGUAAUUUUGUGAAUGCACAUAGUACUUUGAUCAACAACCAGCAUAUUCAAUAAUUAUUUUUUUCACAUAUUUGAAACUUUAAUUCUACAGCAUCUAGUGUCUCUAGGGAAUCAUCUUUUGUGGCUUGCAAACCAACUGCUAGUAUUUAUGUAGAAAUCUUUACGAAAGCUGAUGUCACACUGCAAUCAACAUAUUUAUAAGAUACAGUACAUGUGGUAUUUCUAGGAUGUGAUAAUACAUUGGAAAUACCUAGCAGUAAUAUAAGCCCAGGGCCAGGUCUGGUAACAAGCCCCAUUCUAUUGCAGUUCAUUGAAGAUUUGUUGUUCUGAAAUAUGCCAACAUCCCCUACUUCAGUCCAAGUUAAUUUGGUGGCCCCUGGGCUUAUUGGAGGAUAGAUACAUGUGUUACCGUACAAACAUAUUCAGCCUGUCGUCACAACAGGAUAAUUUGUAAUACAUCAGGAUGUUAUUUUGUGUAUGGAUA
Molecule: RNA transcript, 7062 nt
Organism: Pecten maximus
Lineage: Eukaryota; Metazoa; Mollusca; Bivalvia; Pectinida; Pectinidae
Gene name: protein AF-9-like
Exons: 9
Source: RefSeq, a predicted model, not a curated record